Molecule: unclassified non-coding RNA, 372 nt
Filed under: uncultured Dehalococcoidia bacterium
Lineage: Bacteria; Bacillati; Chloroflexota; Dehalococcoidia
Description: contains 16S-23S intergenic spacer region
Source: RNAcentral
UCCCCCUUGUGGGGGGCUGUCCCGCUAGAGAAUGUAACUAGCGGCAAGGGUUGCGCUCGUUGCGGGACUUAACCCAACACCUCACGGCACGAGCUGACGACAGCCAUGCAGCACCUGUGGUGGCUCCCUGAGUUUCCCCAAGGUCGUUGCCCUUUCGGGUUUCUACUACCAUCAUGUCAAGCCCUGGUAAGGUUCUUCGCUUAGCAUCGAAUUAAACCACACGCUCCACCGCUUGUGCGGGCCCCCGUCAAUUCUUUUGAGUUUUAGCCUUGCGGCCGUACUCCCCAGGCGGGAUGCUUAUCGCGUUAACUUCGGCACAGGGGGGGUCGAUACCCCCAAUACCUAGCAUCCAUCGUUUAGGGCGUGGACUAC